Cinara cedri is the source of this 240-nucleotide non-coding RNA. The record is from the annotation of a GenBank genome assembly. Lineage: Eukaryota; Metazoa; Arthropoda; Insecta; Hemiptera; Aphididae.
GAGAAGCGCAUUAUACUUGAAAACGUAACAUAUAACAUGUGCGAUUGUAUGUCGAUACAAUAACACUUUUUGUACGGAAUAAUAUACAAAAAACGUUGAAGUCCCUUAACCCUGUUUUACGGUGCGGUCUUUGAAAUGACUUCGGGUAUAUACACUUACACCGCCCUGCCCCCGAAAACCGUCUUUCCGUCCGAAGAAACGAAACAAAGGACGACAGGAUUGUAAUGUACAGAAACGGAA